Molecule: ribosomal RNA, 506 nt
Filed under: uncultured bacterium
Lineage: Bacteria
Description: bacterial SSU rRNA
Rfam family: Bacterial small subunit ribosomal RNA
Source: RNAcentral
AUUGAACGCUGGCGGCAUGCCUUACACAUGCAAGUCGAACGGCAGCACGGGGGCAACCCUGGUGGCGAGUGGCGAACGGGUGAGUAAUACAUCGGAACGUGUCCUAUCGUGGGGGGAUAACUAGUCGAAAGACUAGCUAAUACCGCAUGAGAUCGAGAGAUGAAAGCAGGGGACCGCAAGGCCUUGCGCGAUUGGAGCGGCCGAUGUCGGAUUAGCUAGUUGGCGGGGUAAAAGCCCACCAAGGCGACGAUCCGUAGCUGGUUUGAGAGAACGACCAGCCACACUGGGACUGAGACACGGCCCAGACUCCUACGGGAGGCAGCAGUGGGGAAUUUUGGACAAUGGGCGCAAGCCUGAUCCAGCAAUGCCGCGUGUGUGAAGAAGGCCUGCGGGUUGUAAAGCACUUUCAGUGGGGAAGAACGGAUAACGGGCCCGAAUAACCCCGCAUCACUGACGUUACCCACAGAAGAAGACACCGGCUAACUCCGUGCCAGCAGCCGCGGUAA